This 254-nucleotide ribosomal RNA is filed under the name uncultured bacterium. Its description in RNAcentral is "partial 16S ribosomal RNA". It matches the Rfam family "Bacterial small subunit ribosomal RNA", at positions 524 to 776 of the family's 1533-position model. The record is from RNAcentral.
UACGGGGGGAGCAAGCGUUGUUCGGAUUUACUGGGCGUAAAGGGCGCGUAGGCGGCCAGCACAAGUCAGUUGUGAAAUCUCCGAGCUUAACUCGGAAAGGUCAACUGAUACUGUGCGGCUAGAGUGCAGAAGGGGCAACUGGAAUUCUCGGUGUAGCGGCGAAAUGCGUAGAUAUCGAGAGGAACACCUGCGGCGAAGGCGGGUUGCUGGGCUGACACUGACGCUGAGGCGCGAAAGCUAGGGGAGCGAACGGG